This 324-nucleotide long non-coding RNA is filed under the name Apteryx rowi (Okarito brown kiwi). Its description in RNAcentral is "lncRNA (ENSARWG00000018362.1)". Lineage: Eukaryota; Metazoa; Chordata; Aves; Apterygiformes; Apterygidae. The record is from RNAcentral.
UGCCCACAUCAACUGAGCCUGUAAAAGGGAAGCAGCUCCACUGCUCUAAACAGUGGAGUGAGGGACCCAGCUUCUGCACUGAACCUCUCAGGACGCGACCCUCAGUUAUUUCAUGCUGGUGUCUUACACCCCUGCUAGAUGCUCUGACCUUGGAAACCUCAUGCCCAAAUAACUCUCCUGUGCCCAUCUGGCAUCCCCGCUAUAAGUGGAGCUCUGGCAGCUGCACAUCUGAGAAUUGCAGUCUGGGACAUGGGUCCACUCUGGAUGUGACAUCAAUUGGGUGGAAGUGGAAAAUAUGCUCUGCUGGUAACUGUACUGAUGCAG